UAGUGUUCGUUGCCCUUCGGGGUAGCAACCCUCACCCUUGUGUAUUAUAUCAUUUGUUGCUUUGGCAGGCCGCCUUUGGGGGCGCCGGCUUCGGCUGGACCGCGCCUGCCAGAGACCCUUAAACUCUGAAUGUUAGUGUCGUCCGAGUACUAUCUAAUAGUUA
This 163-nucleotide unclassified non-coding RNA is filed under the name uncultured Ilyonectria. Its description in RNAcentral is "sequence contains ITS1". Lineage: Eukaryota; Fungi; Ascomycota; Sordariomycetes; Hypocreales; Nectriaceae. The record is from RNAcentral.